This 855-nucleotide ribosomal RNA is filed under the name uncultured bacterium. RNAcentral's name for it is "bacterial SSU rRNA". It matches the Rfam family "Bacterial small subunit ribosomal RNA", at positions 1 to 814 of the family's 1533-position model. The record is from RNAcentral.
CGGAGAGUUUGAUCCUGGCUCAGGAUGAACGCUGGCGGCGUGCCUAAUACAUGCAAGUCGAACGCUUUGUGGUUCAACUGAUUUGAAGAGCUUGCUCAGAUAUGACGAUGGACAUUGCAAAGAGUGGCGAACGGGUGAGUAACACGUGGGAAACCUACCUCUUAGCAGGGGAUAACAUUUGGAAACAGAUGCUAAUACCGUAUAACAAUAGCAACCGCAUGGUUGCUACUUAAAAGAUGGUUCUGCUAUCACUAAGAGAUGGUUCCGCGGUGCAUUAGUUAGUUGGUGAGGUAAUGGCUCACCAAGACGAUGAUGCAUAGCCGAGUUGAGAGACUGAUCGGCCACAAUGGGACUGAGACACGGCCCAUACUCCUACGGGAGGCAGCAGUAGGGAAUCUUCCACAAUGGGCGAAAGCCUGAUGGAGCAACGCCGCGUGUGUGAUGAAGGGUUUCGGCUCGUAAAACACUGUUGUAAGAGAAGAAUGACAUUGAGAGUAACUGUUCAAUGUGUGACGGUAUCUUACCAGAAAGGAACGGCUAAAUACGUGCCAGCAGCCGCGGUAAUACGUAUGUUCCAAGCGUUAUCCGGAUUUAUUGGGCGUAAAGCGAGCGCAGACGGUUAUUUAAGUCUGAAGUGAAAGCCCUCAGCUCAACUGAGGAAUUGCUUUGGAAACUGGAUGACUUGAGUGCAGUAGAGGAAAGUGGAACUCCAUGUGUAGCGGUGAAAUGCGUAGAUAUAUGGAAGAACACCAGUGGCGAAGGCGGCUUUCUGGACUGUAACUGACGUUGAGGCUCGAAAGUGUGGGUAGCAAACAGGAUUAGAUACCCUGGUAGUCCACACCGUAAACGAUGAGU